Molecule: ribosomal RNA, 200 nt
Filed under: uncultured bacterium
Lineage: Bacteria
Description: partial 16S ribosomal RNA
Rfam family: Bacterial small subunit ribosomal RNA
Source: RNAcentral
AGCGAACGCUGGCGGCAGGCCUAACACAUGCAAGUCGAACGAACUCUUCGGAGUUAGUGGCGGACGGGUGAGUAACACGUGGGAACGUGCCUUUUGGUUCGGAAUAACUCAGGGAAACUUGUACUAAUACCGAAUGUGCCCUUCGGGGGAAAGAUUUAUCGCCAUUAGGGCGGCCCGCGUCUGAUUAGCUAGUUGGUGAG